Molecule: ribosomal RNA, 1103 nt
Filed under: Salmonella enterica
Lineage: Bacteria; Pseudomonadati; Pseudomonadota; Gammaproteobacteria; Enterobacterales; Enterobacteriaceae
Also listed under: 1 other name
Description: partial 23S ribosomal RNA
Rfam family: Bacterial large subunit ribosomal RNA
Source: RNAcentral
AGACCCGAAACCCGGUGAUCUAGCCAUGGGCAGGUUGAAGGUUGGGUAACACUAACUGGAGGACCGAACCGACUAAUGUUGAAAAAUUAGCGGAUGACCUGUGGCUGGGGGUGAAAGGCCAAUCAAACCGGGAGAUAGCUGGUUCUCCCCGAAAGCUAUUUAGGUAGCGCCUCGUGAAUUCAUCUCCGGGGGUAGAGCACUGUUUCGGCUAGGGGGCCAUCCCGGCUUACCAACCCGAUGCAAACUGCGAAUACCGGAGAAUGUUAUCACGGGAGACACACGGCGGGUGCUAACGUCCGUCGUGAAGAGGGAAACAACCCAGACCGCCAGCUAAGGUCCCAAAGUCAUGGUUAAGUGGGAAACGAUGUGGGAAGGCCCAGACAGCCAGGAUGUUGGCUUAGAAGCAGCCAUCAUUUAAAGAAAGCGUAAUAGCUCACUGGUCGAGUCGGCCUGCGCGGAAGAUGUAACGGGGCUAAACCAUGCACCGAAGCUGCGGCAGCGAACGUAUCACCCAAGACAACUUUACGGAGUUGACGAUUGACGGAGCGAAGCGACGUCAAAGCGUUCAUUAAAGUCGAGUUGGCUUAGGGAUACGUUCGUUGGGUAGGGGAGCGUUCUGUAAGCCUGUGAAGGUGUGUCGUGAGGCAUGCUGGAGGUAUCAGAAGUGCGAAUGCUGACAUAAGUAACGAUAAAGCGGGUGAAAAGCCCGCUCGCCGGAAGACCAAGGGUUCCUGUCCAACGUUAAUCGGGGCAGGGUGAGUCGACCCCUAAGGCGAGGCCGAAAGGCGUAGUCGAUGGGAAACGGGUUAAUAUUCCCGUACUUGGUGUUACUGCGAAGGGGGGACGGAGAAGGCUAUGUUGGCCGGGCGACGGUUGUCCCGGUUUAAGCGUGUAGGUGUGUGUUCCAGGUAAAUCCGGUUCACUUUAACACUGAGGCGUGACGACGAGGCACUACGGUGCUGAAGCAACAAAUGCCCUGCUUCCAGGAAAAGCCUCUAAGCAUCAGGUAACACGAAAUCGUACCCCAAACCGACACAGGUGGUCAGGUAGAGAAUACCAAGGCGCUUGAGAGAACUCGGGUGAAGGAACUAGGCAAAAUGGUG